This 502-nucleotide ribosomal RNA is filed under the name uncultured bacterium. RNAcentral describes it as "partial 16S ribosomal RNA". It matches the Rfam family "Bacterial small subunit ribosomal RNA", at positions 28 to 507 of the family's 1533-position model. The record is from RNAcentral.
GACGAACGCUGGCGGCGUGCUUGACACAUGCAAGUCGAACGGUGAAGGGGUCUGCUUUUGUGGUCCCUGGUUGAGUGUCGCACGGGUGAGUAACACGUGAGUAACCUGCCCCUUUCUUCUGGAUAACCGCAUGAAAGUGUGGCUUAUUCGCGCUAUUCUGGUUCUGUCGCAUGCUGGGUCUGGUCAAGAUUGCGCCUUUUGGUGUUUUUGGUGUGGGAUGGGCUCGCGGCCUAUCGGCUUGUUGGUGGGGUGAUGGCCUACCGAGGAGGUGACGGGUAGCCGAGAGGAGAGGGUGGACGAUUAGAAUGGGAAUGAGACACGGACCAGAAUCGGAGGGGAGGGAGGAGUAGGGAAUAUUAAAGAAUGGGGGCAAGCCUGAUGAAGCGACGCCGGGUGAGGGAUGGAGGGCGUCGGGUUGUAAACCUCUUGGGAAAGAAAAGCAGGACUGCUACUUGUGGGUGGGUUGACGGUAGCUGGAUAAGAAGCGCCGGCUAACUACGUG